CCGCGCUGCUCGCAGCCCCGCUUCAGCCGUCCUCACAGCGCCCAGUGCCCGGUUUGCUGUUUCCCAGCGUCUUUCUCACCGAGUGCGACCAAAUGCCCUCGAUUCGUUUCGUGAGGGUCUCAGGUGUCGUCUGACCCCCUGGGACGGACCCUGGGGUCCUAAGAGUCGCAGACGCAAUGACUGCCACGCAGAUGGAGCUGUAAUGAAGGCUUUAUUAUUUCACAGACUUUUGUAAGCAGUGCAGGAUAUCAGUAAUCAGAAUCGGCACAGCACAGAUCUUCAUUAGUAGCAGCUUAGAGUUAUGAGGUGUGCCCUCAUCACCUGGACCAGGCCAAACCCUAACGCUGCUCACUCUGAAGGUCAUAAUCUGACCCCAGAACGCACCCAAAGGAAAACAUGUGGCUCAAUCCGUCCUCAGAGGUGCCCCUGACUGAGGGGAUUUCUGUUGGCUGCAGCUCCAGCCUGCAGCCCAUGGGCGGGUGCUGCCCAGCUCCCAGCGUUCCAUGGCACACCCUGUUCCCCUUUGUGUCAUCAUCUGACAUCAUAAAAGGACAGAAGCCUCUACAUCAGUGUUGGCUGAGGCCCGGCUCAGUGCCUCCUGGCAGUCGCAGAGUUGCCCUCGCAUCCAGUUUUCUCUAGAGGACACAAGGAGUCUCUUGUACCUCAGAGGACAAAGGAGAAGAGAGCUAUUCGGCGAAGGACAGAGAAGGGUAUCAGAAGUGUUUCCUGGUAGGAAACAUCAGAAACCUUUCGUUCUUUAGCUUCACGUGCCCACCUGAAGCAAGAGCAUGGUCAGCCUGCUAGAGCUGAUUGCUAACAUCGAGCACUGGAACGAGACUGAUGGCUGCAGCACAGUCACGUUUCCCACACUCGAGAAGCUUUCCACCAAUGAUGUCACUACCAUUUGGAACAGUGUUUUCAAGCGUGUUCAGCAAUUGCUCCUGCUGAAAAAGCCUCUGGCUGUCAGCAUCACCGGACUGGGGACAUUUUGGAUUCAAAAAUGGCAAGCCCUUGAGGAUGGCAAGAUCCUCACGUUUCGGAGACCGCUGUUUUUGCUGUCCAAGGCUGUUACACAGAUCCGGGAUUUCAAAUACUUUCCGAUACACUUGCCUGCUGACAGUGAGAUAGUGGAGCUGAACUGUGAGACCAUACGCCUGCACAGCUCCUAUUCUCAGCAAACAGUGCAGGGCUGUCUGUUGGAGACUUUGGAGUAUUUCUACCACAUCCUAACAAAUGGAGAAGAUGCAGACUUCACAUUAAAGGACAUCGGCACUCUCGCUAUCCGAGCGGAGCAGGUGGAAAUGACAUUCUGUGAAGACUUUUUACUGCAUCUUAACACGUCUACAUACCUGGUACAAAAGCUUUUCAAUAAAAGAUGGGUCAUCUCAGACAAAGAAACUGCUCUCCUGCCGAGCCCACUUGGCCAAGUCCACCUGUUGCCAGAGUUUGUGAUCAAGGAGGUUCCUCAACUUGAUACGAUGCCAAUGCCAGAGGAAAAGCUACUUGAAAGAAAAGAGUCUCUUCUCUGCAAGCUACGCAGACUACGAAGGACCAUUUCUCUCAGCACAUUAACCACAGCUGAGAGCGACAAUGAAGAGGAGCCUGCUGACAGACCUCUCUCACAAGUGCCAGCUGCAGAAGGAAGGCAGGAGAGAGGAAGUCCCACCUUUCCAGUGGUCAUUUCUCAUCCUGAAGAUGAUCCAGAUAAGCUGUCGGCUUGGAUCCAGGAGAGGAAGCGAUUAAUUUCUCAGCUAGAAAGCUCUGUAGACAUUGAGAAAUGGCUGAGAAAUAAAUCUUCCCGGAGCCACGUGGAAGAGAGAGUCUGGGAACGCAUAAAGUCACGCAGAGCAGAGAGAAGGGCUGAACGCAAAGCAGCUGUGACUGAUAAACUGGGCGACACAACACCAGCAAGCAGCAAGCCUCAGCCCCCUCCUUGCAUACCGUACCCCGAGGCUCUCAUUGCACUGCAUAACCUCCUGCGCAAACGGAAGACAACACUGGUGAAUAUCUUCAAGAAAGCUGGCAUGGAAGGCAGAAAUAUCAAGAAAGCAGACUUCAUUAAAAUCAUCAAGCAGGCAAACAUUCCCAUCAACGAAAAGGAGCUGGAGGAUGUGAUCAUCUUUUUGACUGCCCCUAACCGUGGGAAAUAUACGACCGUGGCAAAGCUAAUGGAAAGUCAAAAUGAGUGGCUGGAAAUGAAGAAAAAAGAAUCCAGAGAGACCAAAGGGGGUGCAAAGACUCAGCCCCAUAAAGCCACAUGCAAAUCUGCCACACCUCCACGUUCUGUUGAGGGCAGAGCCAAAGAGAUGGAUCCUACCAAGCCCCCAGUGAAGUUAACACCCUUAGAAGUUACCCCAGUCCAUGCUGAGCCAGCACAAAGACAUCAAACAGCCCAUGAAAAGAAAGAGUCUACAAAACCAUCUGGAGACGGGACACAGAAAACUGUCAAGAGACGAGAGGUGAAAAAGGGCAAGGGCAGCCCAAUCAGAGCUCAGCUGGAGAGAUCUGGGGAGCUAACUGUUAAAGAGCACUGCUUCCCAUCAACUACAAGCAGUGCCAUGGGAGCACUGGUCGACCAGUACCGCAGCAAGGCGGCUGCGAGUUACCUGAAUUCCUCCAAGCUGUGCAAAGAGCGUGACAUUCAUCUCGCCGAGUCAGUGCUGCAGAGAGGCCUGCUGCACCCAGGAGACAAAACCAUCAAAAAAGGACGAUAUCUGAGGAAGAUCAGGCAGCCUGGAGGAUACUACAACAUAGGACUUGCCGAUACGUCCUCACCUCUGAGCAUGUCCAGGUCAUCAAAAAGUACAGCUGGAAACCUGGGCAAAGAAGGCAAAAACAAGAAGGCUUCAGAGGAGUUUUGCCAUUACGAAUCUCAUCAGAGGAAUCAGAAAGAAAAGAGCAACAGGUUCUGGCCAGGUCACCUUCUGGACAAGAUGCGCCUCUGCAUUCCAGAAGAGAAGAUCAACAGGGCGCACCCCUUGUUCAGCUGUGUUCGCCCAACCCGGCCUGCAUACAAGAUUAUCUAAAACCACAACCAGGACCAGCCAGCCACUGUCUGUGUCCACCAGAGACGUGGCAUCCAAGUCUCAUUCCACCUGAAGGUCUUCCAGCAGCACAAGAUGUGCACAGAACGUUGCAUUUCAUCAUCAGCUCAAGAGAUCUGAGCCGUUCUGAUAAAGCACAGACACAGAAUACCCUGAGCUGGAAUGGACCCACAGAAGUCAUCUGGUCCAACAAUUCAAACCCAAAUAAAAAACAUCAUCCAUCCAAUUCUCAGGACUACUUGCAUUCUAUAAAUGGAGAAAUAGAGAUAAGCAACACUGCACCAAUGGAAUCCACAGCGUCAUUCACUUGAACUGGCAUUCCUGACCAAUGCUGUGCUCCCAGAGGAGCGCUCACUGCUGCACCUCACAGUCAGAAGGCAGCAAGAAGUGCUUUCCAUGCACAGAGAGCAGAGAACCAUCUCUGGUGACUGCAAUGUGGGGCACAUUUGGUGUCCUUAUGUGUUACCUACAAAUAACUCCAAUGAGAAAACCACUGCUCAUUUUCUGAACAGUUCAAAUUAGAUAUGGAGGUUGUCUGCCCUGCCUGUGGCAGGGGGUUGGAGCCUGAUGAUCUUUGAGGUCCCUUUCAACCCAAGCCAUUCUAUCAUUCAAAUUACCAAGAAGGUAAUGCAGAGGCCAAGCACAUGGCACACUAAAUGUGACAAGCUAGCUCCUGUCUCCUGCCAUGCCCAGAAGCAUGAGCACUGUACGGGGCGAGGAGCUGCAGAUGGAGAGUGCUUGCAGCCCUUGGAGGGCCAUGGCAGAUAAUGCUGCCAGGAUCAGCACUCCCAUCAGUGGGCUACAGCUGAGAGAGCAAAGAGUGCCCCAGAUCAGCCACAGCCCAUUCACCUGGGUUUGAAGCCAGGUUCAACCAAGAGUGUGAACCGAGACAGGAGCUCGUGCUGGAGGGCAGGGAUGUCAGAGUCUGGUCAGGUUCACACAGCUUUUCAGAUCGAGGUAAACAUGAAUAAAAUCAGCGCCAUUCAGGUGAAAAUUGGCGGGAAGCGACGGCCGCGCUCUCCCACCCCCCCCCC
Molecule: RNA transcript, 4078 nt
Organism: Lagopus leucura (white-tailed ptarmigan)
Lineage: Eukaryota; Metazoa; Chordata; Aves; Galliformes; Phasianidae
Gene: EFCAB12
Gene name: EF-hand calcium binding domain 12
Exons: 15
Source: RefSeq, a predicted model, not a curated record